GAUAAGUUGGCGGAGUGGUCUAUCGCGACAGCUUGCUAUGUUGUUACCUUUGGGUGCAUGUGUUCGAAUCACAUACUUAUCU
Molecule: transfer RNA, 82 nt
Filed under: Lachnellula cervina
Lineage: Eukaryota; Fungi; Ascomycota; Leotiomycetes; Helotiales; Lachnaceae
Description: tRNA-Ser
Rfam family: tRNA
About the family: Transfer RNA (tRNA) molecules are approximately 80 nucleotides in length. Their secondary structure includes four short double-helical elements and three loops (D, anti-codon, and T loops). Further hydrogen bonds mediate the characteristic L-shaped molecular structure. tRNAs have two regions of fundamental functional importance: the anti-codon, which is responsible for specific mRNA codon recognition, and the 3' end, to which the tRNAs corresponding amino acid is attached (by aminoacyl-tRNA synthetases). tRNAs cope with the degeneracy of the genetic code in two manners: having more than one tRNA (with a specific anti-codon) for a particular amino acid; and 'wobble' base-pairing, i.e. permitting non-standard base-pairing at the 3rd anti-codon position.
Source: RNAcentral